UUCAGCAAAGGCUCUGCAGCAAGCCUUCCUAAGGCUGCAUAGUCAGUUUUAUAUUAGAUUUUCAGGAUCUGGUUGAAGAGAACCACAGAAUCCUUGGGGUGGAAGAGACCACAAUGGUCAUCUCAAGUAGAGGCUUUCCCUGCCAAUUCUCAUCUCCCAGCAUGGCAUAAUAGACUACUUUGUGAUCCUGCUUAACCCCUACCACACUGUACUAUCAGGUCUGCAAACCAAGUCUCAACUCUGUUCCCAUUUCCUCACCAGUCAGACAGAAGGAAAUGACAACUUACUCUGAGCUGAAGUUUCAGAACCAGGCUGAGCAGCAGAGAGGCCGAAGAUUUCAGGAAGCAGGCAGCAGAGGUGCUGGAGGCAGCCCAAGCCCAUCAAGGAGACAUAAAGCUCUACUUCCUCGAUGGCAGUGUGCUACAGUUGCUCUUGGGAUUCUCUGUCUGGUUUUGUUGAUAGCAACAGGAGUUUUGAGUUACCUGGUUACGAAGCUCAGCCAAGGAAAAGGAAACAACAGCGAGCCGCUGACUUCCUGCUCAGGCCAGCAGCCAGGCCUUCCCAAAAUUCAAGAUAAACAGCCUGGUG
Long non-coding RNA from Alligator mississippiensis (American alligator), 588 nucleotides. RefSeq lists it as uncharacterized. The transcript is spliced from 3 exons. Lineage: Eukaryota; Metazoa; Chordata; Crocodylia; Alligatoridae. The record is from RefSeq and is a predicted model, not a curated record.